CCAGGCUCUUCGAAUAGUUUGGAAAGUUCUCUGGUCAAAGACUACAUCCAUUACAAUGGAGACUUUAAUGCCAAAAGCAUUAAUGGGUGUGUGCCUAGUCCCUCCGAUGCUAAAAGCAUUAGUAGUGAAGACGACCUAAGGAAUCCAGACUCCCCCUCUUCUCAUGAGUUGAUACACUAUAGACCAAGGACGUUCAACGUUGGCGACUUGGUCUGGGGCCAAAUCAAAGGACUGACUUCCUGGCCUGGAAAAUUCAUAAGAGAAGACGACGUUCACAAUUCAUGCCAACAAAGCCCCGAGGAAGGGAAGGUAUACCAAUCUUUAUCCAUUGUCAAAUAUUAACCUCUGUUCAAAUAUCAAUUAUUCUUUUUUGUUAUCAUCACGUUGGAUUCUUUGGAUUUGAUUUUAAGAUUCUUCAUGACUCAUUGAGGUCUCACAAGCUUCUGGAGCAUAAAAUGAAGAGGGGAUGGUUAUAGUCACCAAAGUGUCAUAUUGCCAAGGGGUGGAGCCCGAGAAGUUGAAGACACUCACAGAAGGUUUAGAAGCCUACAGCCGAGUCCGGAAAAGGAGCAGAAAAAGUGGGAAGCUAAAUAACCAUUUAGAAGCUGCUAUUCACGAGGCCAUGAGCGAACUGGACAAAAUGUCUGGGACUGUUCACCAAAUCCCGCAGGGUGACAGACAAAUGAGGCCCCCCAAACCCAAGAGGAGGAAGAUCUCCAGAUAACAGAGAGUGUUCCACUGACACAGUGUUCAUCAAAGGAGCAUGCACAGACACACCUUAUGUAGGUAUUGAUACGGCCACUGUUAGAUCAAUCUGUAAACCAUGGCAGAUAGCUACCACCACCACAGGGCCCUAAAGGGAACAGCAGUGGAGACGUACGUUGGUCAGGAAG
This 893-nucleotide long non-coding RNA is filed under the name Rattus norvegicus (Norway rat). RNAcentral describes it as "long non-coding RNA NONRATT018125". Lineage: Eukaryota; Metazoa; Chordata; Mammalia; Rodentia; Muridae. The record is from RNAcentral.